Molecule: ribosomal RNA, 646 nt
Filed under: uncultured bacterium
Lineage: Bacteria
Description: bacterial SSU rRNA
Rfam family: Bacterial small subunit ribosomal RNA
Source: RNAcentral
AUCGAUUCGCGGCCUAUCAGCUUGUUGGUGGGGUAACGGCCUACCAAGGCAGCGACGGGUAGCUGGUCUGAGAGGAUGUCCAGCCACACUGGGACUGAGACACGGCCCAGACUCCUACGGGAGGCAGCAGUGGGGAAUCUUGCGCAAUGGGCGAAAGCCUGACGCAGCGACGCCGCGUGCGGGAUGAAGGCCUUCGGGUUGUAAACCGCUUUCAGCAGGGACGAUUGUGACGGUACCUGCAGAAGAAGCCCCGGCCAACUACGUGCCAGCAGCCGCGGUAAUACGUAGGGGGCGAGCGUUGUCCGGAUUUAUUGGGCGUAAAGAGCCCGUAGGCGGUUUGGUGAGUCGGGUGUGAAAUCUCCACGCUCAACGUGGAGGGGCCACCCGAUACUGCCAUGACUGGAGUCCGGUAGAGGAGUGUGGAAUUCCCGGUGUAGCGGUGAAAUGCGCAGAUAUCGGGAGGAACACCCGUAGCGAAGGCGGCACUCUGGGCCGGUACUGACGCUGAGGAGCGAAAGCGUGGGAGCAAACAGGAUUAGAUACCCUGGUAGUCCACGCCGUAAACGUUGGGCACUAGGUGUGGGGCUCUAUCGACGGGUUCCGUGCCGCAGCUAACGCAUUAAGUGCCCCGCCUGGGGAGUACGGA